This 862-nucleotide ribosomal RNA is filed under the name uncultured bacterium. RNAcentral's name for it is "bacterial SSU rRNA". It matches the Rfam family "Bacterial small subunit ribosomal RNA", at positions 60 to 916 of the family's 1533-position model. The record is from RNAcentral.
AGUCGGGCGGCAGCGCGGGAGCAAUCCUGGCGGCGAGCGGCGAACGGGUGAGUAAUGCUUCGGAAUCUACCCAGUAGUGGGGAAUAACCAGUCGAAAGACUGGCUAAUACCGCAUACGACCUAUGGGUGAAAGCGGGGGAUCGCAAGACCUCGCGCUAUUGGAUGAGCCGAAGUCGGAUUAGCUAGUUGGUGAGGUAACGGCUCACCAAGGCGACGAUCCGUAGCUGGUCUGAGAGGACGACCAGCCACACUGGGACUGAGACACGGCCCAGACUCCUACGGGAGGCAGCAGUGGGGAAUAUUGGACAAUGGGGGCAACCCUGAUCCAGCGACGCCGCGUGUGUGAAGAAGGCCUGCGGGUUGUAAAGCACUUUUAGUGGGGAGGAAACGCUCAGACCUAACACGUCUGGGAAUUGACUUAACCCAAAGAAAAAGCACCGGCUAACUCUGUGCCAGCAGCCGCGGUAAUACAGAGGGUGCAAGCGUUAAUCGGAAUUACUGGGCGUAAAGCGUGCGUAGACGGUUAUCUAAGUCGGAUGUGAAAUCCCCGGGCUCAACCUGGGAAUUGCAUUCGAGACUGAAUAGCUAGGGUUCGGAAGAGGGAAGCGGAAUUUCCGGUGUAGCGGUGAAAUGCGUAGAUAUCGGAAGGAACAUCAGUGGCGAAAGCGGCUUCCUGGUCCAGAACCGACGUUCAGGCACGAAAGCGUGGGGAGCAAACAGGAUUAGAUACCCUGGUAGUCCACGCCAUAAACGAUGAGAACUAGACGUUGAGAGGGUCUGCCUCCCAGUGUCGCAGCUAACGCGUUAAGUUCUCCGCCUGGGGAGUACGGCCGCAAGGGUUGAAACUCAAAGGAAUUGACGG